UUCCUCCUGGUUAGUGAAAUGGGCGCCUUUUUACAUGUUUACUGACCUCUGGACACUCCCACUUUGUGAUGUAGUCUGCCCACUUCCCUGUGGAGUUGAUCUUUUUCCUGUUGAUUUGCAGGAGUUCUUUACAUAUUUAUGCGUCCUGGACAUAAGUCCUUGAUGCUUUGCUGCACAUCGUAUUGCAAAUGCCCCACCGGCUGUGACGCGCAUAGUUUUACUGGUGUUUUAAACUCCGCGAGGUGCCAAGGCACUGUCGUGCGCUGUAUCUUUGCUUGAAUUUGUCCACAAACGUCAUCCUUUCAGGACUUCUUCACCUUUUCCUACAUUUUCACGCCUACACCCGGGCUCCUUUUCCUCUGGCGUUUGGUCUGAGCGCAGGGCCGGGGAGAUGACGGACUCUGUGUUUGUCUCACCUUCUCCUCGGAUCGCUGUUUUGGGCUGACCUUUCCCCACCGCCUGCACUCCGAGGAGCUCCUCCUUGUCUCCCGCUUCUCCUGGGUGUCAGUCACAUUUCCUGCACUUUGCACGUCUAGUGAUUUGGGGCUGUGUCCUGCACAUCGUGGCUGGUGGCCCCAGGUCCGCCCUCCCGGGCCCCUGGCUCCACUCCAGGAAUGCCCCGGCUUCUUUUCUCCUGCACCAGCGGGACCUCGGGGGGCCUCGGCGGGGACGUGGGGACGUGAGGCAUGCGGGCCGCUGGAGGACUGGAAAGCAGCACACCUGCCCAGCGCGAUGCUUACUCCUCUGGUCCAAGAGAAAUCAAACACUUCCUGUGCCUGGAUUCCUGCCCAGCUCGCAAUGCCCCUGGAGAAGAUGGUGAAGAGUGUGUGUGCGCGUGUGUGUGCGCGCACGCACAUGUGCCCUGGGAGAGGGUGGUCCCAGCCUCCCCAGUCCCCCCGCCCAGGCCCUGCCCAGAGAUGAAGGAGUGACCUCAUCCAGGUGUGGGCAGGUCUCCCAGCGCCCCUGGAACAGCCCCCACUCUCCGAGACAAAGACCUCAUCACACAGUGACUUUCAGGUGGCAGAGAGGAGAGCAGAGCUUUUCGGUGGCCGGCUUCCCACCAGGGCACCUCCAGGGCCUGUUUUCUCUGUCCUGUCCCCGUUGGUGGCUACACGAGCUCUUCCCCAUUCAACCUGGGGAAGCCACAGGUGCAGGCAAGGUUGGAUUUAGGGAACUAGAAAAACCAAACAAGACCCCGGUGGGAAAGCCCGGGCACUGAGAUUGUCCUGACAGGAGUGGGGUGUCGUGGGAGGAGAGGGCCUGCAGGGAGGCGGGAAGGGGACACUAGGAGGUGGGGGGUUGGCCCCCAGGGGAGGCUGCAGGGGUGGUGCACCUGCCGGGAUGAGGGGUUGUUGAGAACAGAAGGAUGGCUGCCCUGGCACCCACCUCCCCCCUCAGCCUCUAUGCUGGGUGGGUGAGUGAUCAGUAGUUGGGAAGCCCUUGGUGGAUGGGGGGAGGUUGAAGGUGAAGCUCUGACGGUGGGGGGGCUUGCUAAGGGCACUUCUGACGGGAUGUGCUUCUGAUGCCAGUUCCUGCGCACCGGCCAGGCCUUCUUCGCUCACCUCUGUCCCACACUGUCCCCCUGGAGCCGGCCUCAGAUUGAUGGGGGAGCGAAGGCAGGGCACAGGAGGGGGUCCCCCCCACCCCGCAGGUGCUCCUGCCUGCCCUGAGGCUAGGGGAAUGGUCAGAGACCACAGCCCAGCAGGACAGGAGCCUCCCUCAGUGCACCAGUGUCUUAGGGGUUUACAAGGAAAAACACUCUUAUCAAUAGCAGAUAGCCGAACUUCCUGGAGCCCUAACAUCACCCUCCCCUCCACGGUGAGGUGGGAAAACAAAGGUGGAAGGGAAUGUCAAUAAAAUAAAAUUUCCUUAUGACCUGCAGCCCAUUGACAAACACAGGAGGCAGGCCUAGUAGAACAUUCCUCCAGGAAGCUCCCCACUGUCUCAGUGUUAAUGCUUUACUAGAGGGAAAACCACCGGAGCCUGCCCACGGCCAGGCCCCCAGGAUCCUGAGAGUCCUCUUUAGCAUAUCAAAGAUCUCUUGGACACCCCCCUCUGUCCUGAUCUCUCCCAACUCCUAAGUAUGUUAUCAGCUCACCUCACAGCCCCGGGGCUGCAGCUCUUCCUGCCCAUGGUCCGUCCCUGUGCUUUAAUAAAACCACCUUUUUGCACCAAA
Canis lupus familiaris (dog) is the source of this 2176-nucleotide long non-coding RNA. RefSeq lists it as uncharacterized. Lineage: Eukaryota; Metazoa; Chordata; Mammalia; Carnivora; Canidae. The record is from RefSeq and is a predicted model, not a curated record. The transcript is spliced from 2 exons.